Pogona vitticeps (central bearded dragon) is the source of this 574-nucleotide non-coding RNA. The record is from RefSeq and is a predicted model, not a curated record. Lineage: Eukaryota; Metazoa; Chordata; Lepidosauria; Squamata; Agamidae.
GAAUGAGAUACUGCUGCCUGAACAGCUGGAGACAGUCACCUCACUCUCCCUGAUGGGUAAAGACUGUUCCUGCUGCUCUAGGCUUCAGCUCUGAAGGAAUGAGAGGGUGAGGGAAGAGGAGAGAGAGAAGUGAAGUUAGAAUAGACUCAAAUCCUGAAAUCAGCAAGUUGAUUUACUUAAAUCCUAAGCUUAGCGGGGAACAAUGAACACUGAUUGAGCAAGAUGGAACCAGAGGCUGGAUUUCUGAAUAAGAGGUUUCAUGUUUGCAACCAAUGUAUCUGGUGGUGAGUAAUGAUGACUUUACUGGGAACAGCCAACAUUAAAGUGACUUUUUAAGUUCCAAUUAGUUCAAUGAAGAGUUGAACACAUCAUUAACAUUCUCUUGUUGAAACCAAUGGAGCUUACAUGUGCUUAACUUUGACCAGACUGUGCCCAAUGUCAUUGCGACUCUCAAAUAAUUCACUAUCAAGUUCUAAGAUGAGCAAUUAUCACGCUGAGGAGAAAGCAGUAAUUUAUAUUGAUAGCUACUGCACUUGAAUAUAUGUAAUUAAGUCCCUGAUUAGCUUGGACAUGU